AUGGAGGAGCUUGGAUUGAAGGAGGCCGAUCUCCAGGAUGUAGUGAUCGAGGAUGAAGAGCUUUCGGAGGAGGCGACUCGUUGGAUGGCGAUAGCUAGGGUUCACACGGACCGAACUUACAGCCAAUACUGGUUCUUCAGAAACAUGCGGGCGGCCUGGGAUCUGGCCAAGGAAGUGAAAAUCAGGCCGCUUGAGGACAACAUGUAUAUGCUGCAGUUUGCAUGCUUGGGUGAUUGGGAACGAGUGAUGCAGGAUGGGCCAUGGUCGUUUAAGGGCAAGGCGGUGGUGCUGGAACCCUACGACGGCUCCACAAAACCAUCGUCGAUAGAGCUCAACAAGAUAGAUAUCUGGAUACAGAUCCAUGAUUUCCCGAACGGUUUUUUCACAAAAAUCAAGGCUCUUGCGUCUACUGUGGGAGAGUUCAUAUACGCCGAGCCAAUGGCCCAGUAUUUUGAAGGAAACUUUGCUAGGGUUCGGGUGAGGAUCGAUGUAACCAAACCGCUCAAGAAUGCCGUGUCUCUGAUGGUCAGAAAGAAAGACACCGUCCAAAGAGAGAUCUUCAGGGUGAAGUAUGAAAGACUCCCGGAUUAG
RNAcentral lists this ribosomal RNA (591 nucleotides) under Triticum aestivum (bread wheat). RNAcentral's name for it is "partial small subunit ribosomal RNA". The record is from RNAcentral. Lineage: Eukaryota; Viridiplantae; Streptophyta; Magnoliopsida; Poales; Poaceae.